AGUUCAGAUUUCCUCGGCAGUUAACUGCAGCCGGAUUUUUAAUUCCUCGGCAGUUAACUGCCGAGGGG
RNAcentral lists this microRNA precursor (68 nucleotides) under Medicago truncatula (barrel medic). Its description in RNAcentral is "MIR2629 microRNA precursor family". It matches the Rfam family "MIR2629 microRNA precursor family". The record is from Rfam by way of RNAcentral. Lineage: Eukaryota; Viridiplantae; Streptophyta; Magnoliopsida; Fabales; Fabaceae.